AUGUCCCCAGAAAUGAUGGCAGGGAUAACACACAAUGAGAGGGUGUAUCUGUGGGGCACUGGGGUGCUCUGCUGUGAAUGGCCGGUGGGAAAUCUUCCCUUCAAGAGCACUUCACAUAGUGAGACCUCCAGAUGCACUUUCAAGGGAGAUGUGUGGCUUCCACACCAGUGCCUUCUGGGGCCAGGACUUCAUCUCCAAGCUGCUUGGAUACCAGCUCUCUCAGUGGCUGCCCUUGUCCACUUUAAUCACCU
This 251-nucleotide long non-coding RNA is filed under the name Homo sapiens (human). RNAcentral describes it as "non-protein coding lnc-H3F3C-8:1". Lineage: Eukaryota; Metazoa; Chordata; Mammalia; Primates; Hominidae. The record is from RNAcentral.